AUUUUUUUGUUUGCAAUUCAAACACAAGGUC
RNAcentral lists this transfer RNA (31 nucleotides) under Satanocrater paradoxus. Its description in RNAcentral is "partial tRNA-Ala". The record is from RNAcentral. RNAcentral also lists the same sequence under 3 other names. Lineage: Eukaryota; Viridiplantae; Streptophyta; Magnoliopsida; Lamiales; Acanthaceae.